AGAGUUUGAUCCUGGCUCAGGAUGAACGCUGGCGGCGUGCUUAACACAUGCAAGUCGAACGAUGAUGCCAGCUUGCUGGUGGAUUAGUGGCGAACGGGUGAGUAACACGUGAGUAACCUGCCCUUGACUCUGGGAUAACACUUGGAAACAGGUGCUAAUACCGCAUAACAGUUUAUGCCGCAUGGCAUAUGAGUGAAAGGCGCUUUCGGGUGUCGCUGAUGGAUGGACCCGCGGUGCAUUAGCUAGUUGGUGAGGUAACGGCUCACCAAGGCCACGAUGCAUAGCCGGCCUGAGAGGGUGACCGGCCACACUGGGACUGAGACACGGCCCAGACUCCUACGGGAGGCAGCAGUGGGGAAUAUUGCACAAUGGGCGCAAGCCUGAUGCAGCGACGCCGCGUGAGGGAUGACGGCCUUCGGGUUGUAAACCUCUUUCAGUAGGGAAGAAGCCGCAAGGUGACGGUACCUGCAGAAGAAGCGCCGGCUAACUACGUGCCAGCAGCCGCGGUAAUAC
Molecule: ribosomal RNA, 513 nt
Filed under: uncultured bacterium
Lineage: Bacteria
Description: bacterial SSU rRNA
Rfam family: Bacterial small subunit ribosomal RNA
Source: RNAcentral